RNAcentral lists this ribosomal RNA (292 nucleotides) under uncultured bacterium. Its description in RNAcentral is "partial 16S ribosomal RNA". It matches the Rfam family "Bacterial small subunit ribosomal RNA", at positions 505 to 796 of the family's 1533-position model. The record is from RNAcentral.
GUGUCAGCCGCCGCGGUAAGACGUAGGCUGCAAGCGUUGUCCGGAUUUAUUGGGCGUAAAGAGUUCGUAGGUGGUUUGUUAAGUCUGAUGUUAAAGACUGGGGUUCAACCUCGGAAAUGCAUUGGAUACUGACAGACUCGAGUGUGGUAGAGGCAAUCGGAAUUCCAGGUGUAGCGGUGAAAUGCGUAGAUAUCUGGAAGAACACCGGUGGCGCAAGCGGAUUGCUGGGCCAUAACUGACACUGAGGAACGAAAGCUAGGGUAGCGAAUGGGAUUAGAAACCCGGGUAGUCC